UGACGGCCACAUCACGUUGAAACAUUGGUACCUGUAGGAUUACCGAAGUUAAGCAACGUUAAACCUGGUCAGUACCUAGGUGGAUGACCAUCUGGGAAUCCUAGGUGCUGUAAU
Non-coding RNA from Acanthosepion pharaonis, 114 nucleotides. The record is from the annotation of a GenBank genome assembly. NCBI's taxonomy places the organism in Eukaryota, Metazoa, Mollusca, Cephalopoda, Sepiida, Sepiidae.